RNAcentral lists this ribosomal RNA (253 nucleotides) under uncultured bacterium. Its description in RNAcentral is "partial 16S ribosomal RNA". It matches the Rfam family "Bacterial small subunit ribosomal RNA", at positions 524 to 776 of the family's 1533-position model. The record is from RNAcentral.
UACGUAGGGACCAAGCGUUGUUCGGAUUUACUGGGCGUAAAGCGCGCGUAGGUGGCCUCAUAAGUCCGCUGUGAAAGUCAAAGGCUCAACCUUUGAAAGCCGGUGGAUACUGUGAGGCUAGAGUACGGAAGAGGCGAGUGGAAUUCCUGGUGUAGCGGUGGAAUGCGCAGAUAUCAGGAGGAACACCAAUAGCGAAGGCAGCUCGCUGGGACGUUACUGACACUGAGGCGCGAAAGCGUGGGGAGCGAACAGG